Homo sapiens (human) is the source of this 6754-nucleotide RNA transcript. It is a transcript of the gene named coiled-coil domain containing 13, with no coding region annotated. The record is from RefSeq and is marked validated. The transcript has 17 exons. NCBI's taxonomy places the organism in Eukaryota, Metazoa, Chordata, Mammalia, Primates, Hominidae.
AGGGCAGCGCGUGUCGGCGUCCGGAGGAGGUGACCUAGCCGCCGCGGUCCUAGAAGGGAGAAGUGGAGAGAGACCGCUGGCAGGAUGGCAGCAGAUGAAAGCUCACAGAACACUUUGCGGCUCCAGUUCAAGGCAAUGCAGGAGAUGCAGCACAAACGGUUACAGAAGCAGAUGGAGAAAAAGAGGGAAAAAGAACUGAGCCUCAAAAGCAGAGCUGACGACCAAGAGGAGCCCUUGGAGGUUUCAGAUGGCCUCAGCCUUCUCCACGCAGGGGAGCCAAACUCGAAAAAUAGCUUUGAGAAGAGGGUGCUUGAAGAUGAGAUUGAACACCUUCGAAAUGAGCUCAGGGAAACGGUGGACGAGAACGGGCGAUUGUAUAAGCUGCUGAAGGAAAGGGACUUUGAAAUCAAACACCUCAAAAAGAAAAUAGAAGAGGACAGAUUUGCCUUCACAGGGACAGCCGGUGUAGCCGGAGACGUGGUCGCCACCAAAAUUGUGGAGCUAUCAAAAAAGAACCGGCUGUUGAUGGCAGAAUCAGAGGGUGCAAAAACCAGGGUGAAGCAGCUGACCAAUCGCAUCCAGGAGCUGGAGCGGGAACUGCAGACAGCCCUGACCAGGCUGUCAGCCAAGGGGGCCACCGACGCAGGAGCCAAGCCACCGAGGGCCCAGAUGGGAGACAGAGCAUUGCUGGAGACCCCAGAGGUGAAGGCCCUGCAGGACAGGCUGGUGGCCACCAACUUGAAGAUGAGUGACCUCCGAAACCAGAUCCAGUCUGUGAAGCAGGAGCUGCGGAUGGCACAGAAGGUUUUGGCCAGAGAGGUUGGGGAAGACAUCAACGUUCAGCAGCUCCUAUCUUCGCCAGGGACCUGGAGGGGUCGGGCUCAACAAAUUCUUGUUUUGCAGAGCAAGGUUCAAGAGCUUGAGAAGCAAUUGGGCCAGGCCCGGAGCCAGUCUGCGGGAACAGCCAGUGAUGAGUUGUCUGUCUAUCCAGACCCAAGGAAGCUGUCGGCACAGGAGAAAAACCUGCUGAGGAUCCGCAGCCUGGAAAGGGAAAAACAGGAAGGCUUGGAGAAACUUGCCAGUGAACGGGAUGUCCUCCAGAGAGAGCUUGAAGAGCUAAAAAAGAAGUUCGAGGGCAUGAGGUCUCGGAACAAGCUGCUGUCAAGUGAGAUGAAGACCCUCAAGAGUCAGAUGGGAACCCUGGUGGAGAAGGGCCGGCAUGAUGACGAGCUCAUCGACGCCCUCAUGGACCAGCUGAAGCAGCUACAGGAGAUCCUAGGCAGCCUGAGUCUGCAGGAGGAGAAAACGCGAGUGUCCCAGCACCACCUGGACCAGCAACUGAACAGCGAGGCUCAGCGGAGCAACAGCCUAGUCGCCCAGCUGCAGGCCAUGGUAGCUGAGCGGGAGGCCAAAGUGCGACAGCUGGAGAUGGAGAUCGGACAACUCAAUGUGCACUAUCUUCGGAAUAAAGGAGUGGGUGAGGGGUCCAGUGGCCGCGAGGUCAGCCCUGCCUAUACCCAGUUCCUGGAGGACCCAGGCCUGACCAAGUCCCCGGCCUCAGCAGGCGAUCAUGUUGGCAGGCUUGGAUCUUCUCGCUCUGUGACCAGCCUGGGCCACACACUGGUGGAAUCUGCUCUCACGAGGCCUUCCCUGCCCAGUCCCCACAGGACCUCACCUAGGUUCUCGGACUCCCCAGAACAAAAAGGCUGGCAGGCACAAGUGUCAGAGAUCAAGGCCCUCUGGCAGGCUGCCGAGGUGGAGCGUGACCGGCUCACCGAGUUUGUCACUGUCCUGCAGAAACGGGUGGAGGAGAGCAACAGCAAGCUCCUGGAGUCAGAGAGGAAGCUGCAGGAGGAGCGACACCGCACCGUGGUGCUGGAGCAACAUCUGGAGAAGAUACGCCUGGAGCCAGGGAAGGCAUCAGCCUCCCAGAGAGCAGCUCCCAGGACCAAAACAGGUCUGCCCACCUCUAACAACAGGCACAACCCAACCGGGAGCGAGAAGAAGGACCCAUCCUUUGCCCAGCUCUCCGAUGUGCCCGUGGAAUCCCAAAUGGAAGAGCUGACAACCAGGCUGGCCAUCCAGGUGGAGGAGAAUGAAAUGCUAAAGGCUGCCCUGGGCAGUGCCCUGCGGGGAAAGGAGGAGGACUUCCGGAUGUACCAUGAGAUCCUGGGCCAGGUGAAAAGUGUCUUCCUGCAGGCCCUGCGGCAGCAGAAGACAGGCAAGCAAUAGGAUGACAGCCCAGUGUCGGCCUGGCCGGGUGGGCAGCCUCAGGUCUUGAGAGGAUAAGACUCUGUCUGAGGACUCCAUCUGCUCCGGGAAGCCAGCCCAGGGCAGCCAGCUCAACCACUUCUACCAGAAGAGGCUCCUUAAGGAUGACCAAAACCAAUGUCUCAGGCCAGGAAGGCAGAAGAGAAGCCCUGGUGGGACACUGCAGGAGACCCUGGGCUGGCUGGGUUACAGCAGCAGGGAGGCCCAGCAGCCCACUGGCAGAGGCGAGAGCUCUGGGAUGGCAAGGCGGCUGUGAAUGGACAGAUGCAGUCCCUCGGGCAGGUGUUCAUCGCCCUCAUCCUAGAUGAAGAAACUGAGGUUCACAGAAAGAAGCUGAGCUAAUAUUUAACUGCAGUCUGCCUGACCCCAAAACCAGGGUCUUGCCGUUCAGAGAUUACCCAGGGUAGGCGCACCCACCCACCACUGAACAACCCCACCCCUAGGCAGCAGCUCCAAGAGGCAUCUUUGUUUGCUCACCAAGACUGCUGAUGGAUGCUGGUGGCAGAGGGCCGAGGUGGGGCUCAGCUGGAGCUUCAGGCAGAAGGGUUUUGAGGUAGUGGCUCCAGUCAAAGGUACAGUGCACCUCCCUCGCCAUGGUGAACUUGGAGGGAUGCUGCAGGGGCACCCUAAGAUCCGCAGGCCUCUAUGACUGUCAGUGUUGCCCUUUCUCAGCUGUAACUAUGCACUUAUAGCUACAGGAAGGAGUGGCCCCAAGGAGGGUCACUCAUAGCCACACACCCCAACUCCGACACCCUGGCCACACAGGUGCACCCACAGCCCCACACAAAGAUGCAGAUGCACACACAUACCUCAAUUCAGGAGCAUGCAACUGUACGUGCACACAGGCACCUCCAUGUGUGCACACUCAUGGACACACAGGUGCAGAUGAGCACACACAUGUGGAUGUGGACACACAUUCCCACACGUGAAGACAUAGCCACUUGUGUGUUGCUUGUGCAGUGAUGCACAAAUGCAGGUGCACAUACUGUGAAAACACCCCCUUCCCCAGGAAAAGCCACUGGGGCUCCUGCGAGCAUCUUGUCAGCUCCUUCCUUGGAAAAGCCACUGCGGCUCCUGGGACCCUGUCUUCUCAGCCCCUUCCUUGGGGAUGGGGCUAUGGAGGGACCCUAGCUGGCCCCCACUCCUCAGGGAGCCCCUGACCCUGCAUGGGGUCACACGGAUCUAGAGAUCCCACAGCAAGUUAGAGCAAAGGCCACCGGGAUGAACUGAUGAUUCUGGUGGGGUCCUAAGGGUCUCUGGGAAGGAAGAGUUUUUCUCUGGUUCCUUGUGAAGGAAAACGGCCAGGCAGAGAGCCAGGAGAGAGAGGGUCUGUGCUUGGAGGGGACAGUGUGUGACAGCGAGGGGUGGGCUGGAUGUAGAGUCUGAACACAGAGGAGUCAGCACCUUCUCCUGCAGGCCCUGAGGAGCUCCAGAGGGUGAUCUGAGUAUGAGGGGUACAGGCUCUGGCCUCAGUGCAGUCCCAGGGAGUGAGAAGCAGGCAUAGGAUCAGCCAUCCUUCCUCAAGAUCACCUCAGGGAAGUGCAGAGAUGGUGUGACCCACACUCCAGCCACUUCAGGGUGGUUCUGCUGCCCUUCCUGGGCUAUGCCUGAGAAAGGAAGGAGCAUUAGGUCAUGGAGUCUGGACAGGUGGGGCUGCCUGGGGCAUACUUCUCUCCCCACUUACCAGCUGUGUGGCCUUGGGCAAGUUAUUUAACCUCUCUGAUCCUCCACAUUCUCAUCUAUAAAAUGCAGACAAUAAUAGAAUCCUCCCUCAGGGGGCUGUUAUUAAUAUGUAUGUCAAAGAAUAACCCAAAGACGUUUCACUAAUUAUUAGCUCUCUGUUUAUUUCUGUACAAGGAACAUGUAUCUAUAGACUGAUUUCAACAAGAGUUAUAUAAGAGAGAGGGGAAAGAAAAACUGCAGACAGGCAGGCACAGGAAAUCUUGUUUGCACAUUUUUGGGUAAACUGAUUUGCUGGUGUCUUGCUUUGGCCAACUCUGUAUAUAAAGAUGAGUGUUUCAGCUUUCAGAUUCCACGGGCAACCUUGACAGCAUUGCUGUGGUGCCAUGUGCGGGAGUGCCUGUCAUGUCUGCUGGCACCUACCACCGGGCACCUCCCCACCCCUAGCUUGGUUAGAUCAGGUCUGCUCCAUUCCCUCAUUGGAACCCUCUGCAGGGUUCACUGAGAUAAAGUGUCCAUUGCUUACAGCAGCUGCUCGCACACAGUAAGCGCUUAAUAAUUAUUCGCUCUUAGUGUUCCCUCCAUUUGUUCAACCAGAACUUGUUGAGCAGUUCCUCUGCCCCAGGCACAGAGGUGCCGAGGUGAGGCAAACACAGUCCCUGGCCUCCAGGAACUCUCAGAUCAGCUGAGGAGAGAGACAGACUGGUCACAGGUCACCAUUCCAUCCAGCCAGUCGGCCACCAGGCAGUCAGUGAGUGCCAACAGCAUGCCAGCCUCUCCAGGCCUGGGAGGGACCUAGAGGUGAAUCUGACUUGCUUCCUCCUUUCAGGGAGUUUCCAGUCCAAUCAGAGGUGUGGGAAACGCCAUGAUGGAGCUGGGUGGGGAAGGAUGCAGGACCGGGCUGCAGCACCACAGGGCUUCCCCCACCAUCCCCACCCCAUCCCUGUGGCAGUUCCCAAGUUCCCAACCUCCUUGAUCAGAUCUGGGUAGAGAGGGGGCUUCACAUCUCCCUGAGGCAAAGGAGCAAGGAGGAGUAAAGGGAAGGUGGGGAGAGCCUGGGAGAAGGAUUUUCAAGGGAAGGAGGUCAUCAAAGGGGUCAAAGAUAGGGACCCUGAGAAACCUAACUUAGGUGGGCCAGGUGCACAGCCAGGCAGCUGGUCUGUCCAGGUUAGUACCAGUGCCUCUCCUGGGUAGCACCAUCUGUCCUGGGCACCCUGAGGAUGACCUCCCUGUCCCUCAGGCAGGUGGGCAACAGGUGUGCUGGAUAAGACACCAAGGGCCCUGGCCAGAUCCACGAGGAGGUAGUUGGAGGGGAGGGUGCAGGUGCCCUGGCGGGUUGAGGGGCAGGGGCAAGUAAAGAGUUAAGUGGUGAAGUUGCCUCAAGUGAGGGCUCUCCCUGCCACACCCCAGGCAGGUGCUGCAGGUCUUGGUGCUCAGGUUCCAGCACUGACAGGUGAGACCUGGCUGAGCUGUGGACGUAGUUUGGCCACUGUCCCCACAGGGGCCUCUGGGGCACCACAGCUGAGCUGGGCAAGGUUGCAGCCUGGCUCAGGCUUAAACACACUACAUUGUCACUGGGCCCCUCCCCUGCUCCCAGGAGCCCAGGGCAGGGUGACCUCCAGUGGGUGUGCUCCUCUGCACCCCCACACCCAGGGGCCAGAACAAGCUUCUCCUCCCCACCCCCAGCCAGCCCACAGCCAGCCCUGAGCACAAAGAAGUCGGCCUGCCCACCUUCUCCCCACAGGUGUGCCUUUACGUACACUGACUCUCCUAUAUCUGUGAGCCUUGCACACACACAACACACAUAUACACACGUAUGUACGAUACAUGUGCACACACAAUACACAGGAUACACAUACACAGCAAACACAUGCCAUGAACAACCUACAACACAAAACGUACACACAGACCCACACACAACUGAUACAAAACACAGUUGCACACGUACAUGCAAACACACAGGAUACUUUCCUCGCAUUUUUACUUUGAGCAACAACCAAACAAAAAAAGUCUGAAAAUUGAAAAGGGACUCAGAUUUGAGAGAAUUGUCCCCACUCCCCACCAUAUCUUUCCUAGUGGCCCUUGUGGCAUUUGGGAAGCUGGCCCCAGGGCCAAGUGCUGGUCUUAGCUCAGUCAGCUUCCUGUCCCUCACGUGGGCUGGCCUUGCCAGGUGCCCUCCCCUGCCACCCCCCUCAGACACAGUGGAGCUGGCCUCAGGCUGUCCAACCACAGAUCCAUGGGACUUCCCUAGCCCUCCACCCCUCUUGCCAUUUCCGCACACCACACUCCCUGCAGACCCUGCUGUGUGUGGGUCACCCAGGGAAGGCCUCACUUCUGAGUGUGAAUCCAGCCUUUCUGGGCCUCUGGGGGUCAGGGUGUCUGUGGCUCUCUAAUAGCCUCUGUUUAUGAGCAAGGCUCUUGUCAUGGAGUGAAUCACCGGAUGCCCCCUGCCACCCCAGUGAGGGCCAGGGCCAGCGGUAUGCCCAUUUUACAACUGAGGAUCUGAGGCCCUAAGAAGUGGGUCACACCAGCUCAGGGUCAAGUAAAUUGGCUGAACCUGUGUUCUUAACUCUGGGGUCAAACCACCCUGUCUGCUCCCUUGAGCCAUUUUCUUGGAGCCUCGUGAGGGCCCCAGUGUGGGUGCACGGGGUUGUCGCCCCUGCAGGGCAGUCAGUGCCAGGAGCUUACAGGGCUGAUCCAACUACUUGGCUUCCUCAUGUGCCAGGUCCUUCUUCUCCCAACUGCGUACAGUGGCAACAUCUUCCCUAUGGGCUGUGGUGACAUUAAAAAGUUAAUCCAUGUA